GAUGAACGCUGGUGGCGUGCUUAACACAUGCAAGUCGAACGGGAAUUUGUAAACAGUAGCCUCGGUGGAAGAUUACUAAUGAGAGUGGCGAACGGGGGAGUACCGCGUUAUCAACCUGCCUAUGACUGUGGGAUAGCCUCGGGAAACCGGGAAUAAUAUCGCAUCAAAUGGUAGAAAAGCAUAUUUUAACGUUCAAAGCUUUAUCGGUCAUAGAUGGGCUGGCUUCUGAUUAGCUAGUUGUUGCGAUAACAGCCCACCAAGGCGAGGAUCAGUAGACGGUAUGAGAGGAUGGGCGGCGACAUUGGAGCUGGGACGCAGUACAGACUCCUACGGGAGGCAGGAGUGGGGAAUAUUGCACAGUGGGGGGAACCAUGAUGCAGCGACGACGGGAGAACGAAGAUAGUAUGCGUAAAGUAAAGUGUUGGUAUAUGGGAAGAUAAUGACAGUACCAUAGAAGAAAGCCACGGCUAAAUACGUG
Molecule: ribosomal RNA, 478 nt
Filed under: uncultured bacterium
Lineage: Bacteria
Description: partial 16S ribosomal RNA
Rfam family: Bacterial small subunit ribosomal RNA
Source: RNAcentral